CUCGUGUGCGCGGCAUCCGGUCAUGUGACCGGCAAGCGGCCUUUGGGACUAUGGUUUUCGACGAGCGUCUAGGGGGUGGCGCUCUACAUUUAGGCAUCUCUAUGGUGGAAGCGCGGACUCGGCUUUGAAUCCAGAGGUAGGAAAAGGAGAGAGGAGCGCCUUUCGUUUUCCGCAUGGGCAUUUCCUGGUUCACAUCGAAAAGCAGUUUUUUUUAACGUCCUCAGGGAGGGAGAGAGAUGAGGAAUCAGUCGGAAAUCUGAGGUCUUGACGUGGUGUGAGGGGGCACCAGCAUAUGUCACCUGAGGGUCUUCUCCAUGCACCCUCUCAGAGGGAGCGGGGGAGAGCGGGGCUUUCUCAGUGGUGGCUCCCCUUUAUGGAAUUCCCCUGUGUGUUUGUGUGUAAAACCUGUGCAUUUUAGGUUGUUUUAUCCUAGUUUUCAGUGUUUGUUCCCCCCCCCCCCAGUGGCAUAGGGUUUCAUUUUUUAAAAAGUGACCCAGAAUGCUAAUACAGUGGUACCUCGCGUUAAGUACUUAAUUCGUUCUGGAGGUCCGUUCUUAACCUGAAACGGUUCUUAACCUGAAGCACCACUUUAGCUAAUGGGGCCUCCUGCUGCUGCCGCGCCGCCGGAGCACGAUUUCUGUUCUCAUCCUGAAGCAAAGUUCUUAACCCAAGGUACUAUUUCUGGGUUAGCGGAGUCUGUAACCUGAAGCGUCUGUAACCUGAAGCUUAUGUAACCCGAGGUCCCACUGUACACAAUAACAAUUCUGUGACAAUUCCAACACCACUUUCAGCUGGUUGAUGGCACUCGAAAGAGAGUGACUUGCAAUAGUCAUAGACUAUUUUCUGGUGCUUGGAUACCUGGCCAGUGUACACAUUCAUGGCAGGGGAGUGGCUAAUCCAUGUGCCGUCUUGACCCCUAUGGCAGCAGGGCAUAGCUGGUGGGCAUGACCCCAUGUAUUGCACAAUGCAGUUUUCUUUAAUAUUUUUUUAUUAAAGUUUUAAACAAACAAAAAAGAAAAACAACACACACAAAAAACAAUACAAAACUUAACAAUAUAAACACAAAACAAUUAAUAACAAACUCUCUUUUCCAUUUCCAAUUUUAAGUUACUUAUUUUCUGGACUUCCUCAUACCUCCCUCUUUUGUAUUCCAAUCCACAUUAUUUAUCCAGCAGUUUCUUUUCCACUUUUUUAAUCCCAAUCUUUAAUUUAAUAAAAUGUUAAAAUAUAUAACUUCAACUUUUUUAAACCUAAUCCUUGAUCUUAAUAUCCUGUAACUUUAAAGUUUUCCCUUUUAAAAUCAAAUUUCCAUUUCCUUAAACUUCUUUAAUCUUAAUCUUUAAUCUUAAUCUAUCCUUAACUUUAACCUGGAACUUUUAAACCUGCAGCUGGAAACCACUUAUUUUCAGUCCAACAUCACUCUAACAUUCCUUAAUUUUGCAGUGUUUCUGAAGAUAGUCUUUGAAUUUCUUCCAGUCUUCCUCCAUCGACUCUUCUCCCUGGUCACGGAUUCUACCAGUCAUUUCCGCCAAUUCCAUAUAGUCCAUAAGUUUCAUCUGCCAUUCCUCCAGCGUGGGAAGUUCUUGUGUCUUCCAAUACUUUGCGAUGAGAAUUCUUGCUGCUGUUGUUGCAUACGCACAAUGCAGUUUUCUGACCAAACAGGCGCAUCAUACAAAAAAUGUGUUCUGUCAAGGAAAUUACUUCUUUACAGUGAAAUAUGAAAUUAAUAUUCCCUAUAAAGGGGUCGCAGCCUCGUAGGGAGGACCGAAACCCUCGGAAGAGCACCGUUGGUUAGGCUCCGCUCCGGUCGGGAAAUGAGAAAGACCAACACCAGGAUUCAGGAAAGCAAAAUCUGAUCUUUAUUGAAAGAACGGGGGGGGGGGGAAUUGUUGCAACAGGGUCCCCCCUCACGUAACAAGGACGGAGUGAGAACCUCGAACAAAAGAGCUGCCUUGGUUUUUAUACCUUUUGGUUUCCAUACAGAUCUAUGACAAAGAACAGCGGAGAUGGCAGGAAGCGUGAAGAGAGGAUUAACAUAAGGUAAGUAGGAGGGGUGAAAUAAUAUGUGUUGAGCUUUUUAUUUAUCUUGGAUCUGGUUAAUGGCUUUUUCCUUUAUCUACAGGAAAAACCAGUUAUGCAGAUAAUGAGGCUGGAUGUUCGGGAAAUAGUUUCAAUGUUAGUGUGAAAUCCUGUUCUGCAUAGCUAUCAAUUCAGGUGUGAUAAUCUCAUGUUUGCAUACUUAUUGGAAAAUAAAACUAAGAGCUUGUAUUUGUGUGUAUUCAUGGUAUUAUUUGCAGACCCAGUAGAUGGCAGUGUGGGUAUAAAUAAGUUGUUGUUGUUGUUGUUGUUUUAUUGAUGACUCUCAGGGGUCCCUUCCAAUUCUACAGUUCUACGAUCCUAUGAUUCUGCAUGGUCAACAUUCCAGGGACAGGACCCAUCUUGAACAUAAGAACAUAGGAAGAGCUUCCUGGAUCAGGCAAUGGCCCAUCUAGUCCAGCAUCCUGUUCUUGCAGUGGCCAAGCAGAUGCCUGUGGAAAGCCAGCGAGCAGAACAUGAGCACAAGAGCCCUCUUGCCUUCCGCGGUUUCCAUCAACUUGCAUUCAGCAGCAAACUGUGUAGGCAGAGCAGAGCCAACAUGGCUAGAGCGUCCAUCGAUAGCCCUCUCCUCCAUGAAUUUGUCCCAUCCUCUUUAUAAGCCGUUCAAGUUGGUAGCCACCACUGCCUCCUGUGGAAGCAAGUUCCAUCGUUUCUCUACAUGCCGCGUUGUAGCAGGAACCCCCCGCCCCAAUCAUUCAGUUUGUACAAACUUCACACACUCACACUCACACACUACAUAUGCCACACUUCUGUUAUAAAUUUAUAGAAAAAUCAACCAUACAUCGGAUUUGCACUGUUCCAUUUUUAUUUUACUCCAUAUGACAAGGACUAUCAAAGGGGGGUGGCUUGGUUCUGGUCAGCCAUAAUCCCUUCACCAUCCCAGCACAUCCACAGGAGCCCUGCCCAGUUGCUAUGCCAACCCUGGUGGUCCUAGACAGAAGACCAUCAAGAUCACAAAGAACUUGCAUAUGGGAGUGGAUUCAGCAUGGACUGAAACAAAGGACAAUGAUCAGAUCUUCCCUCUGGGGGCAGGAAACUGCCAACUCCCCUUUGUCUCCUGGAAGUGACUCAUGGGCAGGGGGAAAGGAGGAACCAGCCAGGUGACAGGACACUCAGGUUACCACCACAACUCCUCCCUCAACCCCUCCUUUCUGUAAUGUAUGCAUGAUGUUUCUGGGGGUGGGCUUGACCUAGAGGAUGGGAAUUUCAAAAGUUUUUAUAAGGUCUUGCACACCAUCUUUCUGGGUCUUUCCUCUCUCUCGCAAGUGAGGGGAACACCCUGUUGCAACAGUUCAAUAAAGGCCAAGCCUACAGGCUGCUGUUUUGCUCCAAGUUAUCCUGGUUGGUGUCUUUGUUUUUGUCCAAGGGAGCCCUCGGAUUUUUCCGGUAACAGCGUGAAGAAGGACUGUCAUUUAUCUCUCCUAAAUCAUCCAACAUUCAGC
This 3539-nucleotide long non-coding RNA is filed under the name Podarcis lilfordi (Lilford's wall lizard). Lineage: Eukaryota; Metazoa; Chordata; Lepidosauria; Squamata; Lacertidae. The record is from RNAcentral.